This 468-nucleotide ribosomal RNA is filed under the name uncultured bacterium. RNAcentral's name for it is "partial 16S ribosomal RNA". It matches the Rfam family "Bacterial small subunit ribosomal RNA", at positions 28 to 507 of the family's 1533-position model. The record is from RNAcentral.
GAUGAACGCUGGCGGCGUGCUUAACACAUGCAAGUCGAACGGUGAAGGCGGAGCUUGCUCUGCUGGAUCAGUGGCGAACGGGUGAGUAACACGUGAGCAAUCUGCCCCUGACUCUGGGAUAAGCGCUGGAAACGGCGUCUAAUACUGGAUACGAGCUGCGAAGGCAUCUUCAGCAGCUGGAAAGAACUUCGGUCAGGGAUGAGCUCGCGGCCUAUCAGCUUGUUGGUGAGGUAACGGCUCACCAAGGCGUCGACGGGUAGCCGGCUUGAGAGGGUGACCGGCCACACUGGGACUGAGACACGGCCCAGACUCCUACGGGAGGCAGCAGUGGGGAAUAUUGCACAAUGGGCGAAAGCCUGAUGCAGCAACGCCGCGUGAGGGACGACGGCCUUCGGGUUGUAAACCUCUUUUAGCAGGGAAGAAGCGAAAGUGACGGUACCUGCAGAAAAAGCGCCGGCUAACUACGUG